RNAcentral lists this ribosomal RNA (206 nucleotides) under uncultured bacterium. RNAcentral describes it as "partial 16S ribosomal RNA". It matches the Rfam family "Bacterial small subunit ribosomal RNA", at positions 568 to 774 of the family's 1533-position model. The record is from RNAcentral.
UGCGUAGGUGGUCAUGUUAGUCGUCCGUUAAACCCCCGGCUCAACCGGGGAUCGGCGGACGAAACGGCAUGACUAGAGAGCGUGAGAGGUGAAUGGAACUCUAGGUGUAGGGGUGAAAUCCGUUGAUAUCUAGGGGAACACCGAAAGCGAAGGCAAUUCACUGGCGCGUUUCUGACACUCAAGCACGAAAGCGUGGGUAGCGAACG